RNAcentral lists this ribosomal RNA (399 nucleotides) under uncultured bacterium. RNAcentral describes it as "partial 16S ribosomal RNA". It matches the Rfam family "Bacterial small subunit ribosomal RNA", at positions 360 to 774 of the family's 1533-position model. The record is from RNAcentral.
AAUAUUGGGCAAUGGGCGAAAGCCUGACCCAGCAACGCCGCGUGAAGGAAGACGGUCUUCGGAUUGUAAACUUCUUUGAUUGGGGAAGAACACAAUGACCUACCCAAAGAACAAGUCACGGCUAACUACGUGCCAGCAGCCGCGGUAAUACGUAGGUGACAAGCGUUAUCCGGAUUUACUGGGCGUAAAGGGCGUGUAGGCGGCCUUGCAAGUCAGAAGUGAAAUUCUCGGGCUCAACCCGGGCGCUGCUUCUGAAACUGUAGGGCUUGAGUGCUGGAGGGGAUAGCGGAAUUCCUAGUGGAGCGGUAAAAUGCGUAGAUAUUAGGAAGAACACCGGUGGCGAAGGCGGCUAUCUGGACAGUAACUGACGCUGAGGCGCGAAAGCGUGGGGAGCGAACA